Molecule: small RNA, 596 nt
Filed under: Pan troglodytes (chimpanzee)
Lineage: Eukaryota; Metazoa; Chordata; Mammalia; Primates; Hominidae
Description: retained intron
Source: RNAcentral
CUAGGAAGGAGGAAGGAUUGGUGUCAUAGAAAACACUGGGUUUCCUGGGCAGCAGACCAUGUUGGGGCUUCAGGGCAGAGCUUCACUCAGAUGCUGUGGGUUGAGAAUGACAUGGGUGCACGCCAGUGGGUCUCUAGCACCAGCUCUGUCAGACCCAUGGGGGUUGUUCAGUGAAUGGUGGUAGACGGCUGAAUGGAUGCUGAGAGCUACCUUUGAAGACUAGAAUUAAGGCCCUAGUUUGAUACCCCACUUACUCUUGGCUCAGGAAUCUAAUUUCUUUACUACAGUAAGUUUUCUUGGGCUUUUUGGUGAUGGUUUGGACAGCUCUUUUAACCUGCUGUUGUACUUAUCACUUGUGCUGAUUAAGGCAGUUGGGGUUUUCACAGAGGUAGUGUCAAGGGAGCUUCUGAAUUCCCUUAGGUAAAUGGUUGCCCUUCCAACAAAAUUAGACCUCGCUUCAGUAAUUUAUUUUCUGUUUCCCAGGUGGCUGACCCAGUUGUCACGUUUUGUGAGACGGUGGUGGAAACAUCCUCCCUCAAGUGUUUUGCUGAAACGCCUAAUAAGAAGAACAAGAUCACCAUGAUUGCUGAGCCUCU